This 88-nucleotide transfer RNA is filed under the name Salmonella enterica. RNAcentral's name for it is "tRNA-Ser". It matches the Rfam family "tRNA". From Rfam's summary of the family: Transfer RNA (tRNA) molecules are approximately 80 nucleotides in length. Their secondary structure includes four short double-helical elements and three loops (D, anti-codon, and T loops). Lineage: Bacteria; Pseudomonadati; Pseudomonadota; Gammaproteobacteria; Enterobacterales; Enterobacteriaceae. The record is from RNAcentral.
GGAAGUGAGGCCGAGCGGUUGAAGGCACCGGUCUUGAAAACCGGCGACCCGAAAGGGUUCCAGAGUUCGAAUCUCUGCGCUUCCGCCA